This 253-nucleotide ribosomal RNA is filed under the name uncultured bacterium. RNAcentral describes it as "partial 16S ribosomal RNA". It matches the Rfam family "Bacterial small subunit ribosomal RNA", at positions 524 to 776 of the family's 1533-position model. The record is from RNAcentral.
UACGUAGGCAGCAAGCGUUGUUCGGAGUUACUGGGCGUAAAGAGUGCGUAGGCGGUUUCCUAAGUUUGGUGUGAAAUCUCCCGGCUUAGCUGGGAGGGUGCGCCGAAGACUGGGGAGCUAGAGGAUGGGAAAGGCAAGCGGAAUUCCUGGUGUAGCGGUGAAAUGCGUAGAUAUCUGGAGGAACACCGGUGGCGAAGGCGGCGUUCUGGACUGCAACUGACACUGAUGAACGAAAGCCAGGGGAGCAAACGGG